This is a long non-coding RNA of Macrobrachium nipponense, 987 nucleotides long. RefSeq lists it as uncharacterized. The transcript has 4 exons. Lineage: Eukaryota; Metazoa; Arthropoda; Malacostraca; Decapoda; Palaemonidae. The record is from RefSeq and is a predicted model, not a curated record.
GCCUAUAAUGGUUCGUGUCGGUGAGUUGGACUUCUCAUCUGACAACGAGGCGCGGUCUAGACCAGCCGAUUACAGAGUAAAGCGCGUCAUAGUUCAUCCGAAGUUUAAGCGCAAUUCCCUAGAGCGCUAUAACGACAUAGCCAUCAUUGAGACUGUGGAUAAGAUGCAGUUCAACGACGUGGCUUCUUCCCGCUGUGCCUUUCUGACAGAAGGCCAUCUGUGGGGUCCAUCGCAACUGGCUCUGGCUUCGGCUUAGUAAAACAGACUCAUCGUUCAACCCACGCACAGGAAGCUGAUCUUAGGAUAUUAGACUCAAGACUUUGCGAGGCUCGGUACGCAAGCGAGGGUCUGGGUGACACUAUCAGGCACCAGUAUCCUCGGUUCAUACAGACAUCCGACAUUAUCUGUGCUGCCUUUUCCCGGUACAGAUGCCUGCCAGGGCGAUUCAGGGGGACCCCUGUACCAGGACGCCAACGGGCGGCGUUACUUAGUCGGCGUCAUAAGUCAAGGUAUCCCUUGCAGUGGACAAGUAUACCUUACCUGGAUUCUACGUUAGCGUCGCAGACCACAUCGAUUUUAUCAAUCAUGUCAUCUACCGAGUAGUGCUUAAGAGCUUAUUCAUUUCGCUUAACUAAGGAGCCAGAUAGGGUAUGCGGUCAUUCGCGUAUUUUGUCAUGCUCUCUGAAAUCCUAUAUAAAUGAUCCGAUUGAACUUCUAGCAUCGUUAAGACUUUUUAAGUACAGGUGAUAGUAACAGGUAAGUUUGGGUCAACUUCUUCGGAAAUAAUUUUAACAAAUGACGCCAAUGACGACCGAACUCCAGAUCUCAAUUAGGCCUAGUGUAUCAGCCUAGUAGGUGUGGUGAUAUGUUUUUGUAAGUGAAGAAUCUGAAAAUUAAUUAAGAUUCCAUUAUUUCUUUGUUUUGAAGUAUUGGCUAAUCCAAUGCGUAAUCUCCUUAGCAGAGGUAAUAAAAGACAGUAAUAAUCCC